UCAGCUCACGUUGCAUUGGCAGCAUGGCUGGAGUGACUCUUCCUGCCUUAAAGGCAGGGAGAGCUGCUCCUGCUCUCUCUGCCAACACAGCAGGGGCAAUCGAUCUCCCUCCUAAACGACUAGAGCAAGUCAGAGCUGGAGUUUGCAGAAGAAGCAGUCUGCUGGAAAGAGUCUGCUGGCUGGAGGCAGUCAGAGCUGGAGGUUGCAGAAGAAGGAAGGAAGUCUGGAAUUCUGCUAGACUGAGUCCAGGAAAGCAGAGAGUGAGCAGCCAGCAAGAAGAGAAGUCGAGCUGAAAUCACUAGAAGAAAAGGAAGAGCCAGGCUGGAUUGAGCCCCAGACCUGUGCUGUAAUUAGAAGAGACUGCCCAGCAAGAGUAGGGCCCAGUAUAGAAUCAGGCCGCCAUCCCUCUGUGCCUGGAGGGCAUGUACAUUGACUCCACAUAUGGAUGACAGGAAGCUGGUAAAGUUGUGGCAGUGAACCUGUAACAUGGGUUGUGUGGAUCCAUUUUCCUGGAUGAGAAACCUGACUUACUAGACUUUCCCUUCAUAUGUGUCAGGACCCAGCCAUAUCCCAACCCCAAGGAGGCCUCUUAAAGGGAAAAGGAGAAGGAGCAGAUCCCUGCAGAAGCCUCUAGGACCAACCAAGAUCCUCAGAAACCAAAGUCCUUGAGGAACAACUGGAGCUUGCCCUCCUCUGAAUCUGACACCCCCAUCUGGAUUCUUGCCUCACUCCAGACUGUCCUCCAUCACCCUCAUAAGCAAGAAUUGGAUGGUGCCUGAGGCCUUAUUUCUCACGGGCUUUCUUGGGAAGAGGAGAAAGCAGGCACAAGACCCAACUUGAUCCUGGAAGGGGAGGCACUUUCUGUUCACCUUAAAAGUGCCUCAGUAUCAGCUAGGUACUCAGUGGUCAAAUGGCUCUACCGUGAGAGCUCCACUACAGCCAGCACCCAGGCAUCUGUCCUCACCCUCUGUCCCGUUUCCCUGCUCUUAUUUCCUAUUCCAGUUCUUUUUUUCUGUUCCAGACCCUUGCUUCCACUCUCCAGUUCUAGCCUCCCAAUCCAUCUCACCUCCCUUGGGAAGUAGGGACAGAUAAUACAUUUUAAAGUGUGUUCUGACUUACAGUGAAUGCAUGUUGAGAUCUUUCAAGACUGGUUUACAGUACAUCUCUUUAUUUAUCAUGUGAACACUUGGUACUUGAUAACCCUCUUCUAGGGAUCUUGCAGUAAUACAAUAGUGGUUUACAAUGCAAAUAUUGUAUUUUCACUGUUGCAGAUGAUUAUCCAAAACACACCUUCUGUUCAAUUCUGAUUUACUUUCAAUUGCAAAAUAAAAUAAAAAUAAAAAUG
Molecule: long non-coding RNA, 1345 nt
Organism: Hemicordylus capensis (graceful crag lizard)
Lineage: Eukaryota; Metazoa; Chordata; Lepidosauria; Squamata; Cordylidae
Exons: 2
Source: RefSeq, a predicted model, not a curated record